CUCAGUUCGGAUUGAAGUCUGCAACCCGACUUCAUGAAGCUGGAUUCGCUAGUAAUCGCGCAUCAGCCACGGCGCGGUGAAUACGUUCCCGGGCCUUGUACACACCGCCCGUCAAGCCAUGGGAGCCGGGGGUACCUGAAGUGCGUAACCGCAAGGAGCGCCCUAGGGUAAAACUGGUGACUGGGGCUAAGUCGUAACAAGGUACC
This 206-nucleotide ribosomal RNA is filed under the name uncultured bacterium. Its description in RNAcentral is "partial 16S ribosomal RNA". It matches the Rfam family "Bacterial small subunit ribosomal RNA", at positions 1287 to 1500 of the family's 1533-position model. The record is from RNAcentral.